Non-coding RNA from Galeopterus variegatus (Sunda flying lemur), 72 nucleotides. The record is from the annotation of a RefSeq genome assembly. NCBI's taxonomy places the organism in Eukaryota, Metazoa, Chordata, Mammalia, Dermoptera, Cynocephalidae.
GGCUGGUUGGCUCAGUUGGUUAGAGCGUGGUGCUGAUAACACCAGGGUCCAGGUCAAUCCCUGUACUGGCCA